AUUGAACGCUGGCGGCAGGCCUAACACAUGCAAGUCGAACGGAAACAGGAGGCAGUUUGCUGCUUUGCUGACGAGGGGCGGACGGGGGAGUAAUGUCUGGAAACUUCCUUGAUGAAGGGGGAUAACUCCUGGAAACGGUGGCUAUAACGGCUUAACUUCGAAAGACCAAAGAGGGGGACUUUCGGGCCUCUUUCCAUCGGAUGUUCCCAGAUGGGAUUAGCUAGUAGGUGGGGUAACGGCUCACCUAGGCGACGAUCCCUAGCUGGUCUGAGAGGAUGACCAGCCACACUGGAACUGAGACACGGUCCAGACUCCUACGGGAGGCAGCAGUGGGGAAUAUUGCACAAUGGGCGCAAGCCUGAUGCAGCCAUGCCGCGUGUAUGAAGAAGGCCUUCGGGUUGUAAAGUACUUUCAGCGGGGAGGAAGGGAGUAAAGUUAAUACCUUUGCUCAUUGACGUUACCCGCAGAAGAAGCACCGGCUAACUCCGUG
Molecule: ribosomal RNA, 490 nt
Filed under: uncultured bacterium
Lineage: Bacteria
Description: partial 16S ribosomal RNA
Rfam family: Bacterial small subunit ribosomal RNA
Source: RNAcentral